This 262-nucleotide ribosomal RNA is filed under the name uncultured bacterium. RNAcentral describes it as "partial 16S ribosomal RNA". It matches the Rfam family "Bacterial small subunit ribosomal RNA", at positions 793 to 1055 of the family's 1533-position model. The record is from RNAcentral.
GUCCACGCCGUAAACGGUGGGUGCUAGGUGUGGGAGACUAUCUACGUUUUCCGCGCCGCAGCUAACGCAUUAAGCACCCCGCCUGGGGAGUACGGCCGCAAGGCUAAAACUCAAAGGAAUUGACGGGGGCCCGCACAAGCGGCGGAGCAUGCGGCUUAAUUCGAUGCAACGCGAAGAACCUUACCUAGGCUUGACAUAUACGGGAAGCAGGCAGAGAUGUCUGUGCCUUCGGGCUCGUAUACAGGUGGUGCAUGGCUGUCGU